This 2010-nucleotide long non-coding RNA is filed under the name Sorghum bicolor (sorghum). RNAcentral describes it as "long non-coding RNA (SBIC_LNC000847)". The record is from RNAcentral. Lineage: Eukaryota; Viridiplantae; Streptophyta; Magnoliopsida; Poales; Poaceae.
AUAUAUAUAUAUGCAAACCUAACUCUAAAAUCACUCCCCAUUCCAAAAUCGACCGCCGCCGCCACUCCUCUCCUUUCUGUUGCCGCUCCAACGAAAAGGAAGAUGCCGCUGGGGAAGAGGAUGAGAAGACCAUCAAUGGAGGUCCCAGGUACUUCUCGGCCAUUCAUCUGUAAGGUUACGGGGUGUAGGGUUCUGGAUAUGGCCGGGGGCGGAUCUGCACGGUUGCAGGCCGACGGCCGACGGCCUCAUGACCAUGUCUCACUUCGGUCUCUGCUGAUGUUCUCUGGUUUCUUCAAUCUCGUAUUUUUCUAAUCUGUAUUUGUAGCUCAGUAGUAGUAGACUGUAGUCUUGUUCUUCUAGCCUACCAAUUCUUCUAUUCAAUUAGGUUGGAAAUUAAAAUAGAAUCAAGGAUUAAAAUUGCAUAUUCUUCACAAUGGGUAGUUUUUUUUUUUGACUGAACACAAUGGGAUGUAUCAUGCUUGUGUAGAGAUUAAGUCUCGAUUGUAGGAAGGUUCCUGCCUGUGGUGGAGCAUGGUGUGAACAUCUAGUCAAUUUGUAUCUAACUCUUGCAAAACAAUAGGGCAAAAGAUUGGAGAUCAAACAAAUUAACUUGUAGGCUAGCAGUGCUCCUGCUAGCAGUGCUCCAAGGAUCUGGGGUGAUUUUGAUAUGAGCAGGUACUGUUGCUGUUUAUUUAUGUACAACAAUAGGAGCAAAGCCUUGCAUGCUUUGCUUUUUUUCUCUAAAAUGCAUUAAGCUAUGUUAUCAAUCCAUUUUGUAUAUCUUUGCUUAUGAGAUUCAAUGCUUUAGAUCUAUUUUUCAGAUAAUUAAGAUUCAAUGCUUUAGAUCUAAGACAAAACUAAAGUGAAACUAUGCUGAUUCAGAAACCAGAAUUAUAUGGCUGAAAUUUGAAGUGGGUUUGCUUGCCCACUUGACAACAUUUUAAGCAGAUGUGAUUGUUUCAGAACACUAGAAUUUUUAUUGGACACCAUUGAUUUCCUGCUUGACAGUUAAAUGAUUUUCCCAUUUGAAACCUUUUCCUGGACACUAAUUGGGAUUUCUCGGUUACACUACUCAUUGUGUACUGUAGUAUUGAAGUUUUAUUCUAAAGAAUGAUACACUGAAUGUUAAGCUAUAUUGCUCUUAAUUGAAUAUGUGCAAUAGUAUAGAAUUAGCAUUUCAGAGCUUUAAGUUAGUAGUGUAUCAACCUGAUUGUUCUCAUUUUUGCCAGAUUAGCUAUAUUACUAAUGCUACACAAUCGUUUCAUGUCUAGGAAAAACGUGUGAAGAGCAAUCUUUAUACAUUUCGGAAGCAAGAAAAAUACAAAGGUAUAGAGCAAACUUUGACCUCCUAUUUUUUAACAGUACUGGAAUCAAAUGAACUUAUAUAAGUUUUUUAACUAAAAGUUCUGAUUGCUAGGUAUUAGACUUAGAGAUGGUGUGUUCAUUUCUUAUUUUUGACACCAUGUUCUUUUCAGGUUGUUGGACUCAUUUUAGUGAUUUGUGAAGUGUGGUGUGACUGACUGGAGUCCAACACCAUGUUUUCAUCCUUUUGGCAUCAUUGGAGUAGUGUGCUAUUUCUAUUAGUGAUAUAGUGAUCUAUCCUAUUGUUGCAGUGUCUGGAAAUGUGCCCGGAGUGUUGCUACUGCUGUUGGUGAGAUGCUGCUAACUAGAACUUGCCCUGCUGCCAUGCUGCUCCUUUUGCUAUGACUGGAUGACCGAAACUUACGCUGCCAUGGUGCUGCUGUUGUUGUAGUGACUGAAAUAUGGCUACUUCUUUUAAUUUGAUGGAUGUAUGUUUGGUAUGGCUGGUAAUUGAUGGAUUUAAUGGAUGGAUGUAUGAACCAUUGUAUGGUUGUUGAUUUAUUGAACUAUUGUAUGGUUGUGUGAACAAUUAGUUGAAGAAAGUGAUCUACUGGCUACUGCUGUUGUGUUGAUUUAUGAUGAUUCUUUAUAUGGGCUUGGGUUGUAAUAUUGGAUGUAAACUGGGUUGUAGUAUUGAAUGCAAACCGG